CUGUAAGCAUUUGGGCUAAAUAAAGCUCUGUGUUAGAAUAUUAGUGAUUUGCUUACUUUUUCUACUUUAACUGACGUGGGUUGUUUACAAACAUCCAGCAAAUCUUUCCCUUUUUGUCAGCCGGCUGUGGGUGGUGUAAUUCCUGCGUGCCUAAUUCUAAUAUAUGGGUUGAUUGCCUUUAGUUCAUUGGCUGAAUAAUCUGACCUGGGACUAUAUGUAGGCCAGGUGGCUGUUACCUGGGACACACCCUCUGUGGUUCCCACCCCCCUUCCUCGGCGUGCUGCUGGGCGAGGUCUGCAGUUUGGCGUUUGGUGUGGCUGGGUGAAUGCUCUCCUUUGUCUUGGGAAUUCUCCCAAGCGUGCGGUAGGCUCAGUUUGUUUUUCGCUGUUUUCUCUGAUUAAUCCUGGUGCUGAGUGUUUCUCCUGCUCCAUUUCAGUGCUGAGGCAUUUGUGAGGAGAUUGCUCCGGUGGUUUAUGCCACGUGCAAAGGUUUCCGUCUGUGUGUGAAGCUACGAGAAGUGUUGUGACUUUCCCGCUGUCUGCCGUGGAGAAGUGAAGCCUUGGAAGCUGGGGUGGUGGAGUACGGGGAGUGUCCAAUACAGCUCUACCCGUGUGUGUGUGAGAUCACCUGUGUCCCCCUCUUCGCGGAGGCUCCUCCCCCUGCAUUAGUGCUUUUUUUUUUUUUUUUUUUUUUUUUUUUUUUUUUUAGGCUUUGUGGUUCUUUUCUAUUUUUCCCUUUGCUUAUUUUUGUUAUAUUUUGUGUUAAUUGUUUUGUAUGUCCAGACUCAAUCCUGGUGUGUGUGCUGCCUCCGGUGAGCUGUAGCGGACUGGUUUGCUUUUUUUUUUUUUCUGAACGCGCGCUGCAUGUGACUCAGCGCGCUGUGUGUGUGUGUGUCUGUGUAUGUGUUACUAUACUUCCUGGGUCCUGAGUUGCGCGCUGCUGCGGGAGGGAAAGCCUGUAUGGUCAGUAAGCGUGAUUUAUUUCUUUAUGUUGCCGGGCUGUGUAUGGUUUAGUUGUGUUGGUAUAAUUGUUUAUUUGAGUUAAUUUGUUUUUGUUUUCUUUUGUGUCCGAACAGGAGCUGGAAGCGGUGACAGGCUGCUGAGGUGUUGAAGUCUAACUGGGUGUGCUUAGUGGUGUUUGUGUGCUGUGUAGUGGGGACUCCUCUCACCUGCAGUUAGCACUGGUCACAGUGUGCUCCAGCCCUGUUCAGGUUUUGUUUUUGAUUUUUAGUGUUUGUGUUUCUUUUUGUAUUUAUUUAUUGAUUUAUUGGUUUUGUUUUUUUGUAAUAUUUGAUAUUUAUUAAAAGUUAUAUUUUUAAGUAA
This is a long non-coding RNA of Astyanax mexicanus (Mexican tetra), 1322 nucleotides long. RefSeq lists it as uncharacterized. The record is from RefSeq and is a predicted model, not a curated record. The transcript is spliced from 2 exons. Lineage: Eukaryota; Metazoa; Chordata; Actinopteri; Characiformes; Acestrorhamphidae.